RNAcentral lists this unclassified non-coding RNA (240 nucleotides) under soil metagenome. RNAcentral's name for it is "partial contains 5.8S ribosomal RNA, internal transcribed spacer 2, and large subunit ribosomal RNA". The record is from RNAcentral.
AACGCACGAGACCUGCGGACCUGCGGAAGGAUCAUUAAAAAGAGUGUGUACCCCUCUGUAAAAUGAGUGGGUUACCUCCCGUCCUUUGUUGACCUCUUAGGAGGUUAUUUUGAACUUUCUGCUUCGGUGGGGUUAAACCUACCGGAACACCCUCAAAUUCUUAUCAUUUAAAAAUUGUUCAGUCCGAUUUUUUGUUAAUAAAAACAAAAAACUUUCAGCAACGGAUCUCUAGAUCGGAAG